AGGGCCUCACCCACAGCAUAUGGAGGUUCCCAGGCUAGGGGUCGAAUUGGAGCUACAGCUGCCAGCCACAGCCACAGCCAUAUGGGAUCCAAGCCAUGUCUGACCUACACCACAGCCCAUCAUGGCAACGCUGGAUCCUUAACCCACUGAGCAAGGCCAGAGAUGAAACCUGCAUCCUCAUGGAUGCUAGUCAGAUUCGUUUUCACUGAGCCACGACAGAACUCCCAAAACUCCCCUCUUACGACCAGGAAGUCCAGGCAUUUCUGUGAUGUGGAGCUGGUGGAGGGAAACUUGGGAGCUCUGUCUAGGCCAGGCAUCCCUACUUUGCUUCCCAAGCCACCAACAGCCUCUUGGGGCCAGCCAGGCAAGGUCUCAACUCAGAGGAACCCCAAAGUUCAAGAGGCCGCCCUGUCUUCCUACCACCCUCUCUGCAUGAGGCCCCAAAUAUAGAGCAAGGACAUCCUUGCUGGCCCUCUCAAGCCUCGAGUGACAAGGAUGGCCUCGCCCCACAGAAAAUGCACCUUGUCAGUGAAGCACGAUCUCUCCCCAACCAUGCACAGCGAGUCAUGGUCAGGACCAAAAGAAACGAUCAGAAGGAGCCACAUUCAAGGACUUAUAAGUUAUAAGGUGGGUCCAUCAUUCUGGGCCUCAGCUACCUGCCCAUGAAAUGGACCUGAGAAUAUUAAUACCCCUCUUCUUGCCAGAAGGUCAGGAGCUGAACUGGAUGCUCUUCUCCUAUCCUUUCCAGAUCAAAGAUCUUGGCUAUAGGAACAAUCUCAGCAGCAACAAGAACAGCCAAGUGACCCAGAAUCAGACACUUCCUGCCCUGAGCCUGGCUAGCUGCCCCCAGGGAGGCCCCAAGUGGAGUCAUCGACUCACACCUGCCACUGGGUGCCUAGAAAACCCCUGGACCUUCUCACUGCAAACACCUGGAAAUUUACCUGCCAAAUCUAAAGGAGGAAAAGGGGGAGGACUGGCCAGGCCCUCCCCCCACCAGCCCCCCAACCCCUCAACCCUCUGGUCUCCAGAUCUGGCUCAUGCCUGCCCCAGGUUCAUGAAUCUUGCAGAGAACACACAGCAUAGAUGCAAAGGGACAAUUCCCCAGUGGGCACUUUGGGGCUGCGGCUACCUCAUCAUCCCCUCUGCCUCCUUCCAGCUAACUCAGCAGGCUCUGUCUCUCCCUGGCCAAGCCCAGUGUGGAGAGGUAAAGAUUUCUAGGAGCCUAGAGCAGGCUGAUUCCUCCCUGGGUCUCAGGGAUCAGGGGCACUUCUACAACCCACUGAGCACAUCAUGGGUCAUUACCUUGUGCCAGGUUGGGCACAGGGGUAAAGAAAAGAGGCACUUCUGCUGUGGCAUAAUAGGAUCAGCAGGAUUUCUGGAGCGCUGGGACACAGGUUUGACUCCCGGCUGGCACAGUGGGUUAAGGAUCCCGGCUGUAGCUCAGAUCUGAUCCCUGGCCCAGGAACUCCAUAUGCGGUGGGGUGGCCAGAUAAGGGGGUGGGCGGAGAAUAGAAAAGAAAAGGCCAUGGUCCCCACCCUCAAGGAGCUCCCUAGUUACUGAAGUGAGGCACAGAAAUUGAUGCAGUGAUACCACUGCCCUCAGCAGGCGAGCAGGGGCAAAGGGGAGUCCUGUCUGAGCCCUUUCCUCAGCAUCAGCCCCUUCUAGGUUCCCUUAACCCAUAGGAAAACCCCAACUGGAGAACCAGCGAAUGUUCCCCCUCCCCAGCCCUGCCGCCAUUCCCAGCAAAGCUCUCUCUGCCUCCCUUUCCCCAAGGGCUGCUUCUCCUUGGAAGGUGGGUCCCCUCUGGGGGUGCUGGAGGGCCAGGGAAGGGGAGGAGGAUCCUACGAG
This 1849-nucleotide long non-coding RNA is filed under the name Sus scrofa (pig). Its description in RNAcentral is "lncRNA (ENSSSCG00060005901.1)". Lineage: Eukaryota; Metazoa; Chordata; Mammalia; Artiodactyla; Suidae. The record is from RNAcentral.